RNAcentral lists this long non-coding RNA (749 nucleotides) under Arachis ipaensis. Its description in RNAcentral is "long non-coding RNA (AIPA_LNC002285)". The record is from RNAcentral. Lineage: Eukaryota; Viridiplantae; Streptophyta; Magnoliopsida; Fabales; Fabaceae.
CAAUAUUUUCAGCAGAUAGUAGAUUGAUCACAAUUUUAACAAAAAUUAACAUACUUUUCCAAAGAUUAAUAAGAAUUAUCAAAGUUCCAGCUUAAUUUUUGUCAAACACAGCACAAAAAAAUAACAAAACAGAGUACAGCACAGCAGCAGAGUUAAUCAUUCAACAAUUCAAUCUGAGUAGCACUAACAGUAGCAGAAUCCUAAAUCCAAGAACAAAGAACCAAGAAAAAAAAAACGAAAAAACAAAUUUGAGUAGCACUAGCAGAAUCCUGAACCUUCGUUCUCACUUCUGAGCAGAGCAUACAAAAAGAAGAACAAGCACUAGCAGUGAGCACCGACCUUCGAUCUGAGCAGUUGAGCGCGACGGCGAGCAGGAGGGCAACCAGACGACGACCACUGUUAUUCCUUCUUCUCCACUUCACCACUGAUGACUCACGAGUCACGAGUCACAAGCCAGCUUCCAAGGGCGGAGACCAAACAGACAUAUCGUUCAGAAGACGACGGCGGGGGAAGAGAAGCAAGGGGGCAGAGCUUCAAUCCGCGAAGAGAAAGGGAUUCAAUCACUUGGGCGGCGGAAGCGCGGGUGAGCAGAUGAAGCUAGAUGGAUGGACGGCGGCAAUAUGCCACUGCUUGCGGCGGUGGUGAUGGCUAGGAUCUUUUUGGCUUUUCCUUAUGAAUGAAAGAAAGGGAAAGAUUUGCUGUGCUGAGUGACACUGACGAAGGAGGGGUUGGGUUUGGGGGAAGAGGGC